GCCUCACGGGCACUUCACCAUCUCUAAAACAGUGUUGCAGAGUCCAGUCCUGUGCAGGUCUUGUUUAGGCAUCCACAGCUGCUAUGCAUUUGUGCUCACAAUGACCUUGUUGGAUUCUGGUAGCAGUAAAGGAAAGGAAAUUUCAAGACAGAGCAAUAGUAUGGACAAUGGUCAUAGACAGAUGUUGCUCAAGGUCAUGAAGUCAACUUUGUAAUCUGUGUGGCGGAUGCUUCUUGUACAGGAUGCAGUAGAAUCAGAGGACCUGUGCAGCCAUUUAGUUGACAGUCGAUGGAGACAAGGAAUUAGAGAAGCUUGUGAAUUGGAAGAAGAGUCUCAAGAAGAACUCUUGAGCAAGAGUGAUCAUCACCAGGACAUGCUAAUUAUCAGGAGUCAGUUGUCAAUCUUACUCUUCGCUGAGUUCUCAUCACGUUUAUUACUGCUACCCUUGCUCACCACACUGAGUUCUUACCUGAGAUGAUACAACUGUGUGUAAACCAAGUAGGACUCGUCCUGUUUCUACUGAUAAGUGCGUUCAAAAUAGCUCUCAGAAAUGUCACCCUAAGAUGAUUUUGUCAGGGCUCUUGUAACUCUUUGUCUGUCCCCAGUGUUUUCACAGAAACAUGGUAACUUACUAAAUAUAUUAUUGAGCAAUUAGAACUAAAAGAAAGAAAGUAAAAAGAAAGAAAGAGGAAGAAGAUGAAGGAGGAGGAGAUGAAGAAGAA
Molecule: non-coding RNA, 722 nt
Organism: Myodes glareolus (Bank vole)
Lineage: Eukaryota; Metazoa; Chordata; Mammalia; Rodentia; Cricetidae
Source: RefSeq, a predicted model, not a curated record